GUCUGAGACCUGUGAGACUAGUGAACAGUAUAGAGUGUGGAGUGAUUUACCAUCUAAGACCUUCUUUGCUUUAUUUAUUACUGCAUUGUUUCUUGAGACUUUACUCUUUAUAUGUUUGAUAUGUGGUUUCCAGCUAAUUUUGUCAUCUAUA
Molecule: long non-coding RNA, 151 nt
Organism: Thalassophryne amazonica
Lineage: Eukaryota; Metazoa; Chordata; Actinopteri; Batrachoidiformes; Batrachoididae
Exons: 3
Source: RefSeq, a predicted model, not a curated record